This 245-nucleotide ribosomal RNA is filed under the name uncultured bacterium. RNAcentral's name for it is "partial 16S ribosomal RNA". It matches the Rfam family "Bacterial small subunit ribosomal RNA", at positions 524 to 768 of the family's 1533-position model. The record is from RNAcentral.
UACGAGGGGUGCAAACGUUAUUCGGAAUCACUGGGCGUAAAGGGUGCGUAGACGGCAAUAUAAGUCAAUUAUUAAAUCUCCUGGCUUAACUAGGAAUCUGUGAUUGAAACUAUGUUGCUUGAGGAUGGAAGAGAGAAGUGGAAUUCUCGGAGUAGCGGUAAAAUGCGUAGAUCUCGAGAGGAACACCGAUGGCGAAGGCAGCUUCUUGGUCCAUUUCUGACGUUGAGGCACGAAAGCGUGGGGAG